Molecule: unclassified non-coding RNA, 383 nt
Filed under: Hevea brasiliensis (rubber tree)
Lineage: Eukaryota; Viridiplantae; Streptophyta; Magnoliopsida; Malpighiales; Euphorbiaceae
Source: RNAcentral
GAGAAAAAAAAAAAAAAAAAAGAUAAGCAAGAUGACAAACAACUUAUGAUAUAUCAGCUUAUCAAAAGAAAAAAAAAAACUUCUGAAAUAUCAACUUCAUGCCAGCUCACAGCCGCAACGAAAGAUGCAAGUUUAGUAUUUAAGAUGUUAGAUCUAAUCUUUCUUUAAUGAUUUAGACACAAGGGCAAGGAAUUUGGAAGUUCUUCCAUCCAAGACUAACCUAAGCAAAACCAAAACAAAUCAAUGGAGUUAAUGGUAUGAAAGUAACAGAAUAUAUAAAGGGAAUGUACAUUAUCAGUUUGUGGAUUCCCCAUCACGAGAAAAAUUGAACUUUGUAGACAGAUUACAAAGUUUCUUCGAAGAGAAUCUAAGCUUUAAUGGUG